AUUGAACGCUGGCGGCAGGCCUAACACAUGCAAGUCGAGCGGAUGAAGGGAGCUUGCUCCUGGAUUCAGCGGCGGACGGGUGAGUAAUGCCUAGGAAUCUGCCUGGUAGUGGGGGAUAACGUCCGGAAACGGGCGCUAAUACCGCAUACGUCCUGAGGGAGAAAGUGGGGGAUCUUCGGACCUCACGCUAUCAGAUGAGCCUAGGUCGGAUUAGCUAGUUGGUGGGGUAAAGGCCUACCAAGGCGACGAUCCGUAACUGGUCUGAGAGGAUGAUCAGUCACACUGGAACUGAGACGCGGUCCAGACUCCUACGGGAGGCAGCAGUGGGGAAUAUUGGACAAUGGGCGAAAGCCUGGUCCAGCCAUGCCGCGUGUGUGAAGAAGGUCUUCGGAUUGUAAAGCACUUUAAGUUGGGAGGAAGGGCAGUAAGUUAAUACCUUGCUGUUUUGACGUUACCAACAGAAUAAGCACCGGCUAACUUCGUG
Molecule: ribosomal RNA, 484 nt
Filed under: uncultured bacterium
Lineage: Bacteria
Description: partial 16S ribosomal RNA
Rfam family: Bacterial small subunit ribosomal RNA
Source: RNAcentral